Molecule: unclassified non-coding RNA, 23 nt
Filed under: Mus musculus (house mouse)
Lineage: Eukaryota; Metazoa; Chordata; Mammalia; Rodentia; Muridae
Description: oocyte_clustered_small_RNA111
Source: RNAcentral
UCAUGGCCUGGUGGACACCCUUG